UGGGGAAUAUUGGACAAUGGGCGAAAGCCUGAUCCAGCCAUGCCGCGUGUGUGAAGAAGGUCUUCGGAUUGUAAAGCACUUUAAGUUGGGAGGAAGGGCAGUUACCUAAUACGUGAUUGUUUUGACGUUACCGACAGAAUAAGCACCGGCUAACUCUGUGCCAGCAGCCGCGGUAAUACAGAGGGUGCAAGCGUUAAUCGGAAUUACUGGGCGUAAAGCGCGCGUAGGUGGUUAGUUAAGUUGGAUGUGAAAUCCCCGGGCUCAACCUGGGAACUGCAUUCAAAACUGACAAGCUAGAGUAUGGUAGAGGGUGGUGGAAUUUCCUGUGUAGCGGUGAAAUGCGUAGAUAUAGGAAGGAACACCAGUGGCGAAGGCGACCACCUGGACUGAUACUGACACUGAGGUGCGAAAGCGUGGGGAGCAAACAGGAUUAGAUACCCGCGUAGUCCCUGAGCGGGCUGGCAAGGCGCAU
Molecule: ribosomal RNA, 472 nt
Filed under: uncultured bacterium
Lineage: Bacteria
Description: bacterial SSU rRNA
Rfam family: Bacterial small subunit ribosomal RNA
Source: RNAcentral